AAGCGGUGGAGCAUUGUGGUUUAAUUCGAUGAUACGCGAAGAACCUUACCGGGUUUGACAUGCAGGUGAUCGCCGUUGAAAGACGGUUUCCUCUUCGGAGGCACCUGCACAGGUGCUGCAUGGCUGUCGUCAGCUCGUGUCGUGAGAUGUUGGGUUAAGUCCCGCAACGAGCGCAACCCUUAUCCCCAGUUGCCAUCAGGUAAAGCUGGGAACUCUGGGGAGACUGCCGGUGAUAAACCGGAGGAAGGCGGGGAUGACGUCAAGUCCUCAUGGCCCUUACAUCCCGGGCUACACACGUGCUACAAUGGCAGGUACAGAGGGCUGCGAAGCCGCGAGGUGGAGCGAAUCCCAGAAAACCUGUCUCAGUCCGGAUUGAAGUCUGCAACUCGACUUCAUGAAGGCGGAAUCGCUAGUAACCGCGAAUCAGCAGGUCGCGGUGAAUACGUUCCCGGGCCUU
RNAcentral lists this ribosomal RNA (457 nucleotides) under uncultured Latescibacterota bacterium. Its description in RNAcentral is "bacterial SSU rRNA". It matches the Rfam family "Bacterial small subunit ribosomal RNA", at positions 927 to 1382 of the family's 1533-position model. Lineage: Bacteria; Pseudomonadati; Candidatus Latescibacterota. The record is from RNAcentral.